CAUGCUCCCUUAUACGCUGGGCUACACACGUGCUACAAUGGGUAGUACAGAGAGUCGCAAAGCCGCGAGGUGGAGCUAAUCUCAGAAAACUAUUCUUAGUUCGGAUUGUACUCUGCAACUCGAGUACAUGAAGUUGGAAUCGCUAGUAAUCGCGAAUCAGCAAUGUUGCGGUGAAUACGUUCUCGGGUCUUGUACACACCGCCCGUCACACCACGAGAGUUGGUUGCACCUGAAGUAGCAGGCCUAACCGUAAGGAGGGAUGCUCCGAGGGUGUGAUUAGCGAUUGGGGUGAAGUCGUAACAAGGUAUCCGUACGGGAACGUGCGGAUGGAUCACCUCCUUUCUAGGGAGAAUAUGUCUUUCUCUAUUCUAUUAUUCUAUUGGUAAUGUUCUUCAGCGCAAUGCUGUUGGGAUUACUUCUGAACAUUGGAAACUAUAUAGUAGAACAAACAAGAAAACAAAAAUUAACUCUAACAAUUUCUUAGAGUUAGCUGUCAAAAAAAUAGGUUAAAAUAAUUAAGGGCACACAAAGGAUGCCUAGGUAGUAAGAGCCGAUGAAGGACGUGGUAAGCUGCGAUAAGCCUAG
Molecule: small RNA, 585 nt
Filed under: uncultured Fusobacterium sp.
Lineage: Bacteria; Fusobacteriati; Fusobacteriota; Fusobacteriia; Fusobacteriales; Fusobacteriaceae
Description: bacterial SSU rRNA
Rfam family: Bacterial small subunit ribosomal RNA (bases 1-342)
Source: RNAcentral